Molecule: ribosomal RNA, 1735 nt
Filed under: uncultured ciliate
Lineage: Eukaryota; Ciliophora
Description: SSU rRNA
Rfam family: Eukaryotic small subunit ribosomal RNA
Source: RNAcentral
ACCUGGUUGAUCCUGCCAGUAGUCAUAUGCUUGUCUCAAAGAUUAAGCCAUGCAUGUCUAAGUUUAAGUACUAUAAUGACGAAACUGCGAACGGCUCAUUAAAACAGUGAUAAUUGAUUUGAUGGAAUUCUACACGGAUAACCGUGGGAAACCAAGGCUAAUACGUGCAUAAGACUUCGGUCUGAGUUUAUUAGCUUAAGAUCCAUUUUAUGAUGGUUCAUGGUAAAUGAUCGGAUCGCACGCUUUAAGCGGCGAUGGUUCAUUCAAGUCUCUGACCUAUCAGCUUUCGACGGUCGGGUAUUGGCCCACCGUGGCUUUGACGGGUAACGGGGAAUUAGGGUUCGAUUCCGGAGAGGGAGCCUGAGAAACGGCUACCACGUCUAAGGAUGGCAGCAGGCGCGUAAAUUACCCAAUUCUGACAUAGAGAGGUAGUGACAAGAAAUAGCAACGUGAGGCAAUAGCUUUGCGAUUGCAAUGAGUAGAAUCUACACGUUUCUACGAGUAACAAUUGGAGGGCAAGUCUGGUGCCAGCAGCCGCGGUAAUUCCAGCUCCAAUAGCGUAUAUUAAAGUUGUUGCAGUUAAAAAGCUCGUAGUCGAUCUUCUAAGGGGAAUUUUCGUCGGCUCUGCCACGUUGAUUACUCUUAUCCGCUCGAGAACUUUAUACGUCCUUAACUGGUCGAUAAUGCACAUCGGGCAUUUUACUGAGAAGAAAUUAGAGUGUUCAAAGCAGGUUGUUGCCUUGAAUACACAAGCUUGGAAUAAUGGAAUAAGACUAGAGUCUUUUUUGUUGGCUAUAAGGCUUUAGUAAUGGUUAAUAGAAACAGUUGGGGGCAUUAGUAUUUAAUUGUCAGAGGUGAAAUUCUUGGAUUUAUUAAAGACUAACUUAUGCGAAAGCAUUUGCCAAGGAUGUUUUCAAUUGAUCAAGAACGAAAGUUAGGGGAUCAAAGACGAUCAGAUACCGUCCUAGUCUUAACUAUAAACGAUUCCGACUAUGGAUCGGGAAAGUUUUUUUAGCUUUCUCGGCACAUUAUGAGAAAUCAUAAGUCUUUGGGUUCCGGGGGAAGUAUGGACGCAAGUCUGAAACUUAAAGGAAUUGACGGAAGGGCACACCAGGAGAGGAACUUGCGGCUUAAUUUGACUCAACACGGGGAAACUUACCAGGUCAAGACAUAGGUAGGAUUGACAGAUUUGAGAGCUCUUUCUUGAUUCUAUGGGUGGUGGUGCAUGGCCGUUCUUAGUUGGUGGAGUGAUUUGUCUGGUUAAUUCCGUUAACGAACGAGACCUUAACCUGCUAAAUAGAAGUCGGAUUCUAAUCUGAUGUUCUUCUUAGAGGGACUAUGUAUGCAAAUACAUGGAAGUUUGAGGCAAUAACAGGUCUGUGAUGCCCCUAGACGUCCUGGGCCGCACGUGCGUUACAAUGACACGAUCAGCAAGUUUUUCCUGCCCCGACAGGGGACGGGUAAUCUUUAUAGUACGUGUCGUAGUGGGAAUUGUCCUUUGUAAUUAUAGGACAUGAACUAGGAUUUCCUAGUAUAGGUGUGUCAUAAGCGCACCUAGAUUAAGUCCCUGCCCUUUGUACACACCGCCCGUCGCUCCUACCGAUUGAGUAAAAUGGUGAACCUUCUGGACUAGAAUUAUCUUUAUGGCUCUUCUGGGAAGUUAAGUAAACCAUUCUUACUUAGAGGAAGGAGAAGUCGUAACAAGGUUUCCGUAGGUGAACCUGCAGAAGGAUCA